Molecule: long non-coding RNA, 697 nt
Filed under: Bemisia tabaci
Lineage: Eukaryota; Metazoa; Arthropoda; Insecta; Hemiptera; Aleyrodidae
Description: lncRNA ENSSSA3NGG004348
Source: RNAcentral
AAUAAUUUAAGUAUCUAAAGUGUCCCUUUUCUGCAUUUCUCACCCAUCAUUAUAUGUCUAUACAAAAAUAACGAUUAAUUUUUGUUUUUUCUAGCUUGAAGUUUCAUUUUGAGGAACAUGGCUUGUAUCGACUAAACAUUUCAAAUAAUUCCUGUUCACCAGUUGAAGUCAUCGAACCCCCACACAAUAUUUAUUCCCCUUUUCUCCACUUGAUAGGAGCUUAUGUGAUCUGUUUGAUUCUAUACCAACUUUUUAAAUACUCUCAUGGCUUCCUUUUGUCUUGGCGAUCACGUAGCAGUUUAAUAUCCUCAGAAAUCAGAAAUGAUCUUGGCAGUGUGAGCAGUGGUGGAGACUCCGCUGUGUUACUCAGGACAGAACCCCCAACACCUCAGAAAAAAAAUAAAGCCAGGGUCAAAGCUCUUGACGCUUUUCGAGGGUAAUUAUCAAUAACUGCUUUGUCUAAUUUAUGCUCAUCAUUGAUACACGAAAUGAUGUUCAUUGCAACAGUUUCUUUUUUUAUUUUCAGGGAGGGUUUGUAAAAUUUUUGCCAUCUAGUUCCAUAGAAAAAUGUUGCGAAUCCUGAUUUUCUUGUGGGAAUCCAACCUUCUUCCAUUUGAAAUUUGAAUAAAGCACAUUUGGUAAUGCAUCAGAGUCUGGCGAAAUAUUUAAAAUCAACAGCUGACAGCUACUUUGUCCA